Long non-coding RNA from Esox lucius (northern pike), 1356 nucleotides. NCBI's taxonomy places the organism in Eukaryota, Metazoa, Chordata, Actinopteri, Esociformes, Esocidae. The record is from Ensembl.
UAUGAAGGAAGUAUUACAGGGUCAAUGACGAAGAUUUUGUUCCAAAGAUGCAUUGUUGAGCUGGGGGAUGCUGUUGCCUGGGUAAAUGCCAACAUGGGCCUUUUCUGAGACUGGGUAGUCCUCACCCCUGAAUGAUGAGGAAAUACAGGGUGCUCUGCAGAUGCUCAGAGAGGCUUCAACUCUAGAGGAAGAACAAGAAGCUCUCUCCCAUUCAUGAUUUUGUUUAAUAAUUUUGAAGACACUGAAACAUUCAUAGACAAAAUAGACAAAAGAGGACUUAAUGAUAAUUUUGAGCUUCCCUGUUAAUUAUGUUUGUUGAUGAGGAUACCUAUUACCUGUCUUUAAACCAUCAGCUAAUGCUGGGUUCCACACAACAAAAAUUACAAGAUCCAGAAAACACAAUAUAAUUUGACGAGACAAAGAGACAAGGAACAUCAUUUAUUUAGCAAGAGUAAACUGGACAGUGUUUUGGAAGUGUUCACCUGGCCAUACAACAUGAUAGGAUGAAUCCAAAGCCUACAGAAUCUGGGCAAAGCUGAAUACACAGUACAUAAAGAAACAGUUUAGUUUUGACAGUGUUGGAAUGUAAUGUUUAGAAUAUUUAAUGGGGUAAUUAAAUGUUUAAUUGUCUAACUGGCAUAUCAUUUAAUUUUGUAUUUCUUAGGUUUAUGCCAUUAACUUUAAGAUUUUGGGCUAUAUUAAUUGACUUUCAAUAAUGUAUGUUGUGCUCCUUUUGACCUGUUCUACUUGUAAUUUAUGCUAUUGAAACAACUUUUAGGAUAAGGGUUAAAUUAGAUGUAACACAUAUUCCUCCCAACAAUGUUUUAAGUCCAUAACCACGUCAUUACUAUAUAAUAAAAAUUGUGCUUGUUCCAGGCACCCCUGGAUAAAUGUAUGGUUCUGUAAACAGAUGUUGACCUGACCUCUAAAUUAUGCAAAUUGAAACAUGCCACCUUUCUGCAACAGGCUAUAGAAAAUUCCACACUUCCAGUUACCAAUUUCAGCUUUCUAGAAGAUUGCUGUUCAAUUGAACAAUGCAAGUCAGAGGAAGGAGAAACCAUUACAAUGAUUUGUAUGAAAACUGGUCAGAUCUAUACAGCAGAACCCACAGGUCUCGGAAAAGGACCUUCAGAACAGUUUAGCUGUCACUGAAGUUGUUGCUCACAGGUCCACCGCACAAUGUACCUUACACAGCAUGUUCACAUUUGUCUAAUAUGUUGAAUCUAUGGAAAAUACAUAAAUGGUAAUACUGUAUAAACUUGUGCAAAAGGGAGGCAUGUUUCACUUUGUAACAUGAAGAGCUCAGAUCAACUAUAUUUUAACUGCAAUAAGCAGAAUUCUCAACCAUCAACCUCC